This 543-nucleotide ribosomal RNA is filed under the name Trigonopterus sp. 189 AR-2020. RNAcentral describes it as "partial large subunit ribosomal RNA". It matches the Rfam family "Archaeal large subunit ribosomal RNA", at positions 1916 to 2702 of the family's 2987-position model. The record is from RNAcentral. Lineage: Eukaryota; Metazoa; Arthropoda; Insecta; Coleoptera; Curculionidae.
GGCUUGUUGAUUAUAAUUUCAGGUCUAGCCUGCCCAAUGAGAAUGUUGAAUGGCCGCAGUAUUUUGACUGUGCAAAGGUAGCAUAAUCAUUAGUUUUUUAAUUGAAAGCUUGAAUGAAAGGUCUGAUGAGAAAAAAACUGUCUCUGUUAAAUUUAAUUAAAAUUUUAUUUUUAAGUUAAAAAGCUUAAAUGUUUAUAGAAGACGAGAAGACCCUAUAGAGUUUUAUAUUAAGUUAAAUUUAUAGAAUUAGGAUGUGAAUUUUUAAAUUGAAUAAAAUAUUUUUUUGGGGCGAUAGAAAAAUUUAAAAAACUUUUUUUUUAUUUAGUCAUUAGUUUAUGAAUUUUUGAUCUUGAAAUUUGAAUAAUAAGAAUAAAUUACCUUAGGGAUAACAGCGUAAUUUUUUUUAGAGCUCUUAUCGAAAAAAAAGUUUGCGACCUCGAUGUUGGAUUAAAAUUAUAUAUUGGUGAAGAAGUCAAAUGAAAAGGUCUGUUCGACCUUUAAAAUUUUACAUGAUCUGAGUUUAAACCGGUGUGAGCCAGGUCG